GCGGGGCGAGGCGAAGGGAGUAAGAGAAGUGACAGAGAGAAAGAUGUCGGGGAUGGGAGAUGGGUACGUGGGCACCGCCCAAGAUGCCGUGCGGAUUCGAAGGCUGGAGAAGCAGAGGGAGGCCGAGCGCCGAAAGCUCGAGGAGAAGAAGAAGAACGCUUCCGCCGGCGGCCAAUCCGGCCUUCUCCAAUUUGGCUCCGGAACCUCAGAGAUUCUCGACACGGCAUUUAAGAAGGAGACAAUUGGUUUAGUGACUAGAGAACAAUAUGUUGAGAAGAGGGUCAAUAUACGAAACAAAAUUGAGGAGGAAGAAAAGGAGAAGCUUCAAAAGUUGAAGGAAGAGGAGGAAGAGCUACAGAUGCAAAAAAGGAAAAAGAGGAGGGUAAAGGUUGAUUCACGCUUAUCCUUUGUUGAUGAAAUAGAGAAUGAGAGUGAUGAGGAAAACAUGGAAAAGAGUUGAGUUCAUUCUUUUCUCCGGUACUCAUUGUACAUAUAUUGGUGUUAGCAACCAUUUUCUUCCUAAACUCUGAACUAUACAAUUAGUUCUUCCUGAACAACCAUUUCAUUUGAUAGAUUUUCAAAGUUAAACAUAGUGAGGUUGAUUUUUCUUCUUUGGUUCAUUCUAGUCCAUUAAAUUGCUCUCUUUUGUGGAUAUUGUUAGUGAUAUGGCCUUGCAUUGAAUUCAAUUCAGUUAGCUAAUCCAUAUUGCUGAUCCCAAAAAAUUAGGACUAACACAGCUUGUUGCUGAUGUUGACGACGCUACAAAUUGAAUCAUCAUAUCAUAGGGCACUCUUUGUUUGUAUCAUGCAAUAUAAAUUAUAUAAGAGGAACAUUGAUUGUCCAUAUCUCUUUGAUCAACAUAAAUUGGAGGAUGACAUAUUUCAUCAUAUGGGCAAUCAAUGUUGAUCAAAGAGAUAUGGAAGUUAGCUUCCAGUUUAGAAAUGAAAUCCUUCUGUUGAUUGGUAUGCCUGCAACAUUUUGUAAAAAUAUGGCCUCCUUGAAUUAGGCCUAUUCAUAAUUACUUUUAAUCUGCUUUUUUUUUUUGCAGAUCUACAUGGCUUUUCCUUCGUCAUGUUAACUGUGUGCACACUGAUGAAGUUUUUGACAAAAUAAUUAGAUGCAAUUUAACCUUUUCACCUCCACGAAAUGCUGUUGCUUUCAUGCAUUUUCUCAAAUUAUUUGUUUUCAGCCAAAGCUAAAAUGAGUUGAUACUACUGUAUUGUCAAAGCAUAACUGAACUUUGUGUUGAAAAGACUUCUUGUGACAUGUAAAACAAGUUAUAUCUAUAGAAUGUUUCUUUAGUUCUUGUCUAUCAGGUUUAAGUGACAUCAUCUUUACAAUUGACAGAACAAAACAAGCAUGGCAAAGAUCCAACUGUGGAAACAAGCUUUCUGCCUGAUAGAAUGAUCUCUUAGGGAGAGAGAAGCAGAGGAACAAGCAGAACGGGAAAUAUUACGGCGGCAGUGGCUACGUGAGCAAGAAUUGAUUAAAAAUGAACCUCUUCAAAUUACAUAUAGUUACUGGGAUGGAGCUGGUCACAGACGGGUUAUUCAAGUUAGAAAAGGUGACAGCAUCGGAGAAUUUCUGCGAGCUGUACAGCAGCAACUUGCUCCUGAAUUUCGAGAGAUUCGGACAACAUCAGUCGAGAACCUUCUUUAUGUUAAAGAAGAUUUAAUUAUCCCUCAUCAACAUAGUUUUUAUGAGCUGAUUAUCAACAAAGCAAGGGGCAAAAGUGGACCGCUUUUCCACUUUGAUGUCCAUGAGGAUGUUCGAACCAUUGCUGAUGCGACGAUUGAGAAAGAUGAGUCUCAUGCUGGUAAGGUUGUUGAAAGACAUUGGUAUGAGAAGAAUAAACACAUUUUUCCUGCAUCUAGAUGGGAGAUAUAUGAUCCUACUAAAAAAUGGGAGAGGUAUACCAUCCAUGGAGACUAGCAAAAAAGUUGAGUUUUCAACUGUGUUGCUCAUAGUGUUCCUAGACUGUGAGAACUUAAUUAGCAAUCUCUAAUAGGAAGGAAAAUCUUCUGAGUGCAAAGUUUGAUUUCACUAUGUAAUGUUUGCCGUUUUGUUCACAGGCCUAGGCCAUAUCUGAAAACUCUAGUAUUUAAACAUCGUACACCUGCAUAACAGUGAUGCUAUUUGAGUUAGAUUUUUUUAGAUUUAA
Molecule: RNA transcript, 2161 nt
Organism: Zingiber officinale
Lineage: Eukaryota; Viridiplantae; Streptophyta; Magnoliopsida; Zingiberales; Zingiberaceae
Gene name: protein XAP5 CIRCADIAN TIMEKEEPER
Exons: 11
Source: RefSeq, a predicted model, not a curated record